CCUACGGGAGGCAGCAGUGGGGAAUUUUGGACAAUGGGCGCAAGCCUGAUCCAGCCAUGCCGCGUGUCUGAAGAAGGCCUUCGGGUUGUAAAGGACUUUUGUCCGGGAGCAAAUCCCAGUGGUUAAUACCUACUGGGGCUGAGAGUACCGGAAGAAUAAGCACCGGCUAACUACGUGCCAGCAGCCGCGGUAAU
This 194-nucleotide ribosomal RNA is filed under the name uncultured Chromobacterium sp. RNAcentral describes it as "partial 16S ribosomal RNA". It matches the Rfam family "Bacterial small subunit ribosomal RNA", at positions 338 to 524 of the family's 1533-position model. The record is from RNAcentral. Lineage: Bacteria; Pseudomonadati; Pseudomonadota; Betaproteobacteria; Neisseriales; Chromobacteriaceae.